Molecule: long non-coding RNA, 2154 nt
Organism: Mesocricetus auratus (golden hamster)
Lineage: Eukaryota; Metazoa; Chordata; Mammalia; Rodentia; Cricetidae
Exons: 3
Source: RefSeq, a predicted model, not a curated record
CAGGAUACCUUUCCACCUGAGCUGUGUAACACUCAGUAUUCUGUGGCUCCCGAGUUCCAGGAUACCUGACCCACUCCUGUUCCAUCCUGAUCCGACUGAAAUGACAACAUUUGGUGCCGUGACUCAGAUAGGCUCUCCUGGUGCCUGUGCUCCCCUUCGUGGUCUGAGCCGCACUGGGACCCUAUCUCUCAUCUCCAGUUGGCCUGCAGCAGACUUGCCUUCCAGUUCACCAAUCGCUUGACACUACAUCCACCAUCAACGAUUGGAAAUUGAAUCACGAUGAGCAAUUCAUCUUUCCAGGAUAUAAAAGUUCAAACCAAAGCAAUGUGAAUAUUGCUGCCUGAUAACAAGGUCCCUGAGAGCUACCAAAAGAGAGAAGACCUAAAUGAAUCAAGGAAACACACCACCAUCAAGAACAAAGGCAAACAGAGACUUCAUUUCUGUGAUUUCUUUUCAUGAAACUGAAAUCCCCAGAUGUUUUGCAAAGCAUUUAAGUACAUGCCAGCAGCAGAGGAAGUGCUGGCAUUCCUAUCUGCCUGAGUAGACUACAUACGGUCAACUCACUCCCUGCAGAGUACACACAGAAAGCUCCUGUGCUAUCUUUUUCUAAUAAAAUUUCUAGUUUUAUGGGGAAUGCAGUGAGAAGAUGUGUGGGAGAACACAGGUUUCAUGGGGGAUGCAGUCGUUGAUACUCAAGACUCCUGCCAGUCUGUUAGGAAAAUGUUAGAAAACUCGGAGUUAGGACAAGCAGUGAAAAGGAAAACAGGAGUCCAUGGUGUACCUUGAGGUGGAGGCAGAGUGAAAAUAUGUCACAGAAACAAAAAAUAAUGAGGAAGGAUGAUAAAGAGAAGAAAGGUAUGGGGGCAGGAAAGAGAAAGAAAAACUGGAAACACCAAGGAACAUGUCAGAGAAGGCAAAGUAUCUUCCGGACUUCAGCAAAGACAAAAUUUGCACGGAGUAGGGUAUAAAACAAUGGUCCUGGAACAUUUUAGGUUUUGUUUUUUAAGCUGCCCUACAUUUCAGUACACCUACUCUCUUUAGAUCCAUAGGUAACAAAGAGCUCCCACAAGCCUGUUCUCAUUCCGUCUUCAGUAGAUACUGAAAUAGUUCAGCUGUGAACUCAGAUAAACUGAGGGUUAGAAGACUGAAAUGUGGAGACCCAUUGGGGGGGAGUUUAUUUUAGUUUACAGGAACAUGAAUAAAUGCAUGGACAUAGAAAGAGUGGUGAGUCUACAUUAGGUGAAAAGUUGUGAAGAGCAGCUAAGAAGAGCUUGGCCUUUGUGUUACAUUCUAUGGGCAUCAGCUAAAGGGUCUGAAAAGGUGAUUACUAUUAAUUGAUUUUGACAGUAAGCGAUUGUGAAGUGCCUGCUGCAUGCUAGACACUGAGCUGAGUAUAGCACAUUCCUCUCUUCAUACAAAUAUAGAUUAAGUAGGUUUAGUAGGCUAAGAAUCCUAAGUAAAUGAAAAUCUAGUGCUCAUCGUUUCUAGCAAUGCAGUAACAUGUUUCUGCUUACUUAUGGGGAGAAGUCACUUUUAAUCUAAGUGUUGGUGUUAGAGGUGGAAACAGAAGGUAAAAGAAGCUGUUGAAAUAGCAUUUGAAAGAUCAGUAGGUAUCUUUUAGGUGCAGAAGCAGAGAAAGUAAGUGAAUCCUGGAUAGAGUCAGAAAAACAACCAGGGUCCUGAAGCUCUGUCAGCCAUCCUUGUUGGAGACAUUGUGAACAAUUGUAGAUGUUGGAGUUCAGGGUUGGGGGCAUGGAGUGGGAAACAGCUAUGCAGGCCAAUCAUCAUGGUUGAGUCUACAUGGUGGUGUUCUGAUCCCAGCACUACUGUGGAGAACAGGUUUGGGUGGAAGUCAGUGGUCAUGUUAAAAGAUCAUUGCAACUGUCAUUCAAAGACUUCACCAAGCAAAGCACACCAACAGCUAUGGGGAGAGGGGAAGUCUGGUCUAACAGUUAAGACAGCAGACCCCAAAAGAGUGAGGAGUGUCCAUGACUGGCAUUGUAGCUCCUAACCUGAUCUUUUAGGUAGAAGAGUGCUCAACGUUUUAGUUAGGGUUUCCAUUUCUGUGAUAAAACACCAUGAUCAAAAAUUUGGGAAAGAAAAACUUUAUUUAAGUUUAUAACUGUCAUUGAGAGAAGUCAGGGCAUGAACUUG